RNAcentral lists this unclassified non-coding RNA (338 nucleotides) under soil metagenome. RNAcentral describes it as "partial contains 5.8S ribosomal RNA, internal transcribed spacer 2, and large subunit ribosomal RNA". The stretch from base 1 to 120 matches the Rfam family "5.8S ribosomal RNA", at positions 35 to 154 of the family's 154-position model. The record is from RNAcentral.
GAUGAAGAACGUAGCGAAAUGCGAAAAGUAAUGUGAAUUGCAGAAUUCAGUGAAUCAUCGAAUCUUUGAACGCACAUUGCGCCCAGUAGUAUUCUGCCGGGCAUGCCUGUUCGAGCGUCAUUUCAACCAUCAAGCCCCAGCGCUUGUGUUGGGGGCCUGCGGCUGCCGCAGCCCCCCAAAAGCAGUGGCGGGCUCGCUAUCACACCGAGUGCAGUAGUUCAUCUUCUCUCCGGUCUUGUGAGGCGGGUUCCGGCCGUGAAACACCCCACUACAUUCAAGGUUGACCUCGGAUCAGGUAGGAAUACCCGCUGAACUUAAGCAUAUCAAUAAGCGGAGGA